AUGAUGGAGGUGGGCCCGUUCCGCGUGAACAAGGACAAAAGAACUCUCAGCGAAAACUUGCAUGCCUGGACCAAAGUUGCCAAUGUGCUUUUCUUGGAAUCUCGUGCCGGUGUUGGGUUUUCGUACUCCAACACGACCUCUGAAUACGACUUGAGCGGGGACAAGAGGACGGCCGGCGAUGCGUUUGUCUUCCUCCUCAACUGGCUCAAGAGGUUCCCGGAGUACAAAGGCCGCCCCUUCUACAUCUCUGGGGAGAGUUACGCCGGCCACUAUGUGCCGCAGCUCGCGGCCACCAUCUUCGGCCACAAUCUCAACAGUAGUACAAGAACUUCCAUAAACCUACGGGGUAUCCUGGUCGGCAAUCCGUACCUUGAUGCCAAUAUGAAUGAUAAGGGAAAAGUUGACUAUCAGUGGGGCCACGGAUUGAUAUCAAAUGAGGUGUGGGCCAAUAUCACCGAGAACUGCCAUUUAGACAAGCCAGGUUACACAGCAUGCGUUGAACAUAUGAUCGAUGGCACUCAUGCUAACAUCGAUCCGUACGACGUAUAUGAACCGGUUUGCAUGGAAGGGCCAACUGAAACACAGCACCACAGCCGCUAUAUACCGAGGUCGUAUGAUAUUUGCAGCGAUCGUUACGUAUACGCAUACCUCAAUGAUCCUCGGGUGCAAAAGGCUUUGCAUGCUAGAUCGCAAGAGUGGCAACACUGCUCCUCACUUAAUUGGAUGGAUGCACCGGCCUCGAUGGUGCCGACGCUCAAAUGGCUGAUAGAGCACCACCUGCCCGUGUGGCUGUACAGCGGCGACUUUGACUCCGUAUGCCCGUUCAUCGCCACGAGUUACACCAUCAAGGACCUCGGCCUCGACGUCACGGAGCAAUGGCGCCCGUGGAUAGUAAAGGAUGAGACUGGAGGGUUCGUUCAGGGAUACGCGGGUGGGUUGGUGUUUGCAACUCUGAGGGCAGCCGGGCACGCGGUCCCGUCCUACCAGCCCGAGGCAGCGCUCACGCUGAACACUUCCCCCGCGUGA
RNAcentral lists this ribosomal RNA (1026 nucleotides) under Triticum aestivum (bread wheat). RNAcentral's name for it is "partial small subunit ribosomal RNA". The record is from RNAcentral. Lineage: Eukaryota; Viridiplantae; Streptophyta; Magnoliopsida; Poales; Poaceae.